UUCCCUCCCGUGAAAGGAACAGGAGCGCGCCUGGCUCCUGCGAGAGGGACUGCCCGGCCCCCUGUGCUGUCCUGUGGCAGCCUGGGGGAGAAGAAACACUCCCCAGCCCUGGAGCCCCACCCUCAGCUAGUACCAGGAGGGGAGCAGAGGCCUAGCACAGUGUGGAGCAGCAGCAUGUGAAGAGUGAAACUGGCACAAGAAAUAUUAGGCAACUUCUCGUAGUAGGAGACUGAUCCAAAUGUAAAAAGUAAAUUCUGCUGCAUCUGUAUUAGAAGAUCAUCAUCAGCCAGGAACUUUUCAUUACCCUGGAGCCGAUACCCUCCCAAGGCAGGAUCCUUGACCCUGAAGCCGGAGAAGGCACCUCUGGUGCAAAUGUUUCUAUGCUCCCCC
This is a long non-coding RNA of Mauremys reevesii (Reeves's turtle), 390 nucleotides long. RefSeq lists it as uncharacterized. The transcript is spliced from 4 exons. The record is from RefSeq and is a predicted model, not a curated record. Lineage: Eukaryota; Metazoa; Chordata; Testudines; Geoemydidae.